Molecule: unclassified non-coding RNA, 347 nt
Filed under: rhizosphere metagenome
Description: partial ribosomal RNA internal transcribed spacer region
Source: RNAcentral
GUAGGUGAACCUGCGGAAGGAUCAUUAAAAAUCCAUAACAACCCGUUGAAACGUUUGCCUUUCCUUGAGAAAGGACCCUUGGUCUCGAUUAAAUCACUUUAUGAGAGACCAUGGAGGAAGGAAUGAAACCGACCAGGACGUCAUUGCCAUGCUCCCUUACUUAGGUAGGGAUAUAUGGGACAAUGGCGAACACGGCUGGAAUCUUUUCGACCUUAAUGAGCCAAUUGGUUUGGGAACCGUUUGGCUCUUGGUCCUGUACCAAGGAGAGUGCGCUAGUCAUAUUAUUAGACAUUUGUAUUUGGGUUCUGGGGGGAAUACAACUUUUAACAAUGGAUCUCUAGGCUCUU